This 500-nucleotide ribosomal RNA is filed under the name uncultured bacterium. RNAcentral's name for it is "bacterial SSU rRNA". It matches the Rfam family "Bacterial small subunit ribosomal RNA", at positions 141 to 622 of the family's 1533-position model. The record is from RNAcentral.
GGAUAACGCCGUGAAAACGGCGCUAAUACCGAAUGUGGCGUACGGUCCGCAUGGACCGUCCGCUAAAGGCGGGGACCGCAAGGCCUGCCCCCCGGGGAAGGGUCCGUGUGCCAUCAGCUUGUUGGCGGGGUAACGGCCCACCAAGGCUUACGGCUAGCUGGUCUGAGAGGACGACCAGCCGCACUGGGACUGAGAUACUGCCCAGACUCCUACGGGAGGCUGCAGUCGAGGAUCAUUCGCAAUGGGGGAAACCCUGACGAUGCGACGCUGCGUGGAGGAUGAAGGCCCUCGGGUUGUAAACUCCUGUCAUGAGGGAAGAGGAGAGUGUCACUAACACUGGCGCGAUUUGACGGUACCUCAAGAGGAAGCCACGGCUAACUCUGUGCCAGCAGCCGCGGUAAUACAGAGGUGGCGAGCGUUGUUCGGAUUUACUGGGCGUAAAGGGCGCGUAGGCGGCGUCGUGUGUCGGGUGUGAAAUCCCAAGGCCCAACCCUGGAAGU